RNAcentral lists this ribosomal RNA (233 nucleotides) under uncultured Lactobacillus sp. RNAcentral describes it as "partial 16S ribosomal RNA". It matches the Rfam family "Bacterial small subunit ribosomal RNA", at positions 129 to 355 of the family's 1533-position model. The record is from RNAcentral. Lineage: Bacteria; Bacillati; Bacillota; Bacilli; Lactobacillales; Lactobacillaceae.
CCCAAGAGAUCGGGAUAACACCUGGAAGCAGAUGCUAAUACCGGAUAACAACAGAUGAUGCCUAUCAACUGUUUAAAAGAUGGUUCUGCUAUCACUCUUGGAUGGACCUGCGGUGCAUUAGCUAGUUGGUAGGGUAACGGCCUACCAAGGCGAUGAUGCAUAGCCGAGUUGAGAGACUGAUCGGCCACAUUGGGACUGAGACACGGCCCAAACUCCUACGGGAGGCAGCAGCU